Molecule: small RNA, 94 nt
Filed under: Klebsiella pneumoniae
Lineage: Bacteria; Pseudomonadati; Pseudomonadota; Gammaproteobacteria; Enterobacterales; Enterobacteriaceae
Description: partial RtT sRNA
Rfam family: RtT RNA
About the family: This family represents a bacterial cis-regulatory element known as RtT RNA. The exact function of RtT is unknown although it is thought that it may be involved in changing the cellular response in relation to amino acid starvation.
Source: RNAcentral
UGCAUCUGAGGCCAGUGAGGAUGAGAACCUCCGGGGGCAGGAGGUUCGACUCGAGCGAAGCGAGAGAACGUUGCGUCAGCAACGGCCCGCAGGG